Molecule: ribosomal RNA, 117 nt
Filed under: Ipomoea nil (Japanese morning glory)
Lineage: Eukaryota; Viridiplantae; Streptophyta; Magnoliopsida; Solanales; Convolvulaceae
Source: RNAcentral
GGAUGCGAUCAUACCAGCACUAAUGCACCGGAUCCCAUCAGAACUCUGAAGUUAAGCGUGCUUGGGCGAGAGUAGUCUAGGAUGGGUGACCCCCUGGAAGUCCUCGUGUUGCAUCCC